Molecule: ribosomal RNA, 253 nt
Filed under: uncultured bacterium
Lineage: Bacteria
Description: partial 16S ribosomal RNA
Rfam family: Bacterial small subunit ribosomal RNA
Source: RNAcentral
UACGUAGGGUGCGAGCGUUGUCCGGAAUUAUUGGGCGUAAAGAGCUCGUAGGCGGUUCGUCGCGUCGGCUGUGAAAUCCCGAGGCUCAACCUCGGGUCUGCAGUCGAUACGGGCGGACUGGAGUACUGCAGGGGAGACUGGAAUUCCUGGUGUAGCGGUGAAAUGCGCAGAUAUCGGGAAGAACACCCGUGGCGAAGGCGGCUCUCUGGGACGGUACUGACGCUGAGACGCGAAAGCGUGGGGAGCGAACAGG